Molecule: ribosomal RNA, 270 nt
Filed under: uncultured prokaryote
Description: partial 16S ribosomal RNA
Rfam family: Bacterial small subunit ribosomal RNA
Source: RNAcentral
UACGUAGGGUGCAAGCGUUGUCCGGAAUUAUUGGGCGUAAAGAGCUCGUAGGUGGUUUGUCACGUCGUCUGUGAAAUUCCGGGGCUUCACUCCGGGCGUGCAGGCGAUACGGGCAUAACUUGAGUACUGUAGGGGAGACUGGAAUCCCUGGUGUAGCGGUGAAAUGCGCAGAUAUCAGGAGGAACACCGGUGGCGAAGGCGGGUCUCUGGGCAGUAACUGACGCUGAGGAGCGAAAGCAUGGGUAGCGAACAGGAUUAGAUACCCGUGUA